Molecule: ribosomal RNA, 431 nt
Filed under: uncultured bacterium
Lineage: Bacteria
Description: bacterial SSU rRNA
Rfam family: Bacterial small subunit ribosomal RNA
Source: RNAcentral
GAUGAACGCUAGCUACAGGCUUAACACAUGCAAGUCGAACGGGGUAAAGAGCUUCGGUUUUUACUUAGUGGCGAACGGGUGAGUAACGCGUGAGAAACCUGCCUUUCAGUGGGGGACAACAGUUGGAAACGACUGCUAAUACCGCAUAACGUAUUUUUGGGGCAUCCUUUAAAUACCAAAGCUUUAUGUGCUGAAAGAUGGUCUCGCGUCUGAUUAGCUAGAUGGCGGGGUAACGGCCCACCAUGGCGACGAUCAGUAGCCGGUCUGAGAGGAUGAACGGCCACAUUGGGACUGAGAUACGGCCCAGACUCCUACGGGAGGCAGCAGUGGGGAAUAUUGGGCAAUGGGGGAAACCCUGACCCAGCAACGCCGCGUGAAGGAAGAAGGCCUGGUGUAACUCUUACUAGGACGAAGAACGUAGACGGUACCGU